AGAGUUUGAUUAUGGCUCAGAUUGAACGCUGGCGGCAUGCCUUACACAUGCAAGUCGAACGGCAGCACGGGAGCAAUCCUGGUGGCGAGUGGCGAACGGGUGAGUAAUACAUCGGAACGUGCCCAAUCGUGGGGGAUAACGCAGCGAAAGCUGUGCUAAUACCGCAUAAGAUCUACGGAUGAAAGCAGGGGAUCGCAAGACCUUGCGCGAAUGGAGCGGCCGAUGGCAGAUUAGGUAGUUGGUGAGGUAAAGGCUCACCAAGCCUUCGAUCUGUAGCUGGUCUGAGAGGACGACCAGCCACACUGGGACUGAGACACGGCCCAGACUCCUACGGGAGGCAGCAGUGGGGAAUUUUGGACAAUGGGCGCAAGCCUGAUCCAGCCAUGCCGCGUGCAGGAUGAAGGCCUUCGGGUUGUAAACUGCUUUUGUACGGAACGAAAAGGUUCUCUCUAAUAAAGAGGGCUCAUGACGUACCGUAGAUAGCCCG
Molecule: ribosomal RNA, 487 nt
Filed under: uncultured bacterium
Lineage: Bacteria
Description: bacterial SSU rRNA
Rfam family: Bacterial small subunit ribosomal RNA
Source: RNAcentral